This 478-nucleotide ribosomal RNA is filed under the name uncultured organism. RNAcentral's name for it is "partial 16S ribosomal RNA". It matches the Rfam family "Bacterial small subunit ribosomal RNA", at positions 331 to 800 of the family's 1533-position model. The record is from RNAcentral.
GUACACUCCUGCGGGAGGCAGCAGUGGGGAAUAUCGCACAAUGGGCGCAAGCCUGAUGCAGCCAUGCCGCGUGUAUGAAGAAGGCCUUCGGGUUGUAAAGUACUUUCAGCGGGGAGGAAGGCGAUAAGGUUAAUAACCUUGUCGAUUGACGUUACCCGCAGAAGAAGCACCGGCUAACUCCGUGCCAGCAGCCGCGGUAAUACGGAGGGUGCAAGCGUUAAUCGGAAUUACUGGGCGUAAAGCGCACGCAGGCGGUCUGUCAAGUCGGAUGUGAAAUCCCCGGGCUCAACCUGGGAACUGCAUUCGAAACUGGCAGGCUAGAGUCUUAUAGAGGGGGGUAGAAUUCCAGGUGUAGCGGUGAAAUGCGUAGAGAUCUGGAGGAAUACCGGUGGCGAAGGCGGCCCCCUGGACAAAGACUGACGCUCAGGUGCGAAAGCGUGGGGAGCAAACAGGAUUAGAUACCCCGGUAGUCCCAUGA